GACCAGCUAGCUCCGUCAGUAAAGCGUGAGACUCUUAAUCUCAGGCUCAUGGGUUUAAGUCCCAUGUUGGGACUUCCA
This is a non-coding RNA of Podarcis lilfordi (Lilford's wall lizard), 78 nucleotides long. Lineage: Eukaryota; Metazoa; Chordata; Lepidosauria; Squamata; Lacertidae. The record is from the annotation of a GenBank genome assembly.